Molecule: RNA transcript, 3835 nt
Organism: Mesocricetus auratus (golden hamster)
Lineage: Eukaryota; Metazoa; Chordata; Mammalia; Rodentia; Cricetidae
Gene: Gosr1
Gene name: golgi SNAP receptor complex member 1
Exons: 11
Source: RefSeq, a predicted model, not a curated record
GAGACUCGCGUAUCCCGUCAGCCCUGGCGCGCUGGGUGGAAGAAGGCGGGGAGGUGACUCUCUGGCCCGCAACGCCUCGACUCUCCUGUCCCGACUGACGUUGGGCAACAAAGAUGGCGGCGGGAACCAGCAAUUACUGGGAAGAUCUCAGGAAACAAGCUCGACAGCUGGAAAAUGAACUUGACCUGAAACUAGUUUCCUUCAGUAAACUGUGUACAAGUUACAGUCACAGCAGCGCCAGAGAUGGAGGACGCGAUAGGUAUAGUUCUGACACAACACCCCUAUUAAAUGGAUCAAGUCAAGACAGAAUGUUUGAGACAAUGGCAAUUGAAAUUGAACAGCUUUUGGCAAGGCUUACAGGGGUAAAUGAUAAAAUGGCAGAAUAUACCAACAGUGCAGGGGUCCCCUCGUUGAAUGCAGCACUGAUGCACACGUUGCAGCGACAUAGAGACAUUCUACAGGACUAUACACAUGAAUUCCAUAAAACCAAAGCAAACUUUAUGGCAAUACGGGAAAGGGAGAAUCUGAUGGGAUCAGUACGAAAAGAUAUUGAGUCAUAUAAAAGUGGGUCUGGAGUUAACAACAGGAGAACUGAACUGUUUUUGAAAGAACAUGACCACCUUCGAAACUCUGAUCGUCUGAUAGAAGAAACAAUAAGCAUCGCUAUGGCAACAAAAGAAAAUAUGACUUCACAGAGAGGAAUGCUCAAGUCAAUUCACAGCAAAAUGAACACUUUGGCCACCAGGAGAAAAACAAGACUCCAGAGGACGGAUCGUGUGGCCGAGCUGCAACCAACAAGGUUCUUCGCCUUGGCUGCAGGGUUCCAGCUCAGCAGAGUCACUCAGUGCGCAAAGCUCUUUUCUAUGCUCUCAGAAGACAUGGGAAUCUAAAAAGGCUGGUGCUGAAGCUUUAACUUCCUGCUUAGAAGCAUUCCCACGAUGCUGGAAGACUUUCUUUCCUCCCACAUGGUCCUUUGAUAACUCAGCCUGACAUCUCUGUGGUUUUCCAUUUGCCUCCUUUGAGAGAUGGGGCUUUUAGCAAAUGAUCACUUACCUUAAACCCAUUUGUUUUGGGUAUUUUCGAAGACCCAAACUUUUGCAGAAAGUUCUUACAUCUUGAGAAGCACACCGAUAUGGUUGGUACCUGCUUUUAAUCCAGUGCCAAUAGGGUUAAACAUGAAGGUGACAUUUUAUAUUUUUUCACCCUAGAAUAAAUAAGUCCACCAUCCUCUCCAUUCCCCUCUCCCCGUCAUGUCUCACUGGAGCUGGUUCACACUGCCUGACUGUGGCAGCUGUUGUAGGCAUGCCAUCCUGCCUCUGUCUAACCUCUUUGUCACCCUGCAUGUAGCAGCCUAAUUUCGCUUCCUGAACAACCCAUGACCUGUCAUUAUUGAAGAACCUCCCUAGCCUCCUGGUCUAGCACAGUGUAUGAAGAAAUGAUAAAAUUCCUUCCCUGAACAAGACAAUGUCUACUCCUCCUUCCUGUGAUCUCAACAGCAAACUGAGAAACAAUUCCUCCAAAGUUAACCCUGGGGAGCCAAUGACUUUAUUACACUUGCCUACAAAGCAGUGGGUCAGGGGUUAUGGGCAGGAGCGGGGGUGACCCUAAAACAAGCUACUCUGGAAGGUCUACACCCAGCAUGAAUGGCAAGUCCUCUGUGAUCGAACAGAUGGAGCCCUUUCCCCUAGUUACUCCCAGCCUGUGUGCUCUAGCUCGUCCCUUAGGUCAUGUGUAAUUAGGGCAGACUUGUACACAACUGGUUAGAAGUCCCAUGACCCUCUAGAGCCCUCCCUUCUAUGAGGAAAUGCCAACAGUCAACAGGCCCAGCUGUGAUGAUCUUUUAUGCCCAGAAAAACUGAAGAUGACAACAGUGUGACUUAGAAGAUAGCCCUAGACCAGUGGUUCUCAACCUGUGGGUCAAGCCCCCUUUGUGGUGGGUCAAGCCCCCUUUGUGGUGGGUCAAGCCCCUUUGUGGUGGGUCAAGACCCCUUUGUGGUGGGUCAAGGCCCCUUUGUGGUGGGUCAAGACCCCUUUGUGGUGGGUCAAGACCCCUUUGUGGUGGGUCAAGACCCCUUUGUGGUUGAACAACCCUUCUACAUUACACUUCCUAACAGUAGCGGAAUUAUAAUUAUGAAAUAGCAAUGGAAAUAAUUUUGUGGCUGGGGAUCAUCACAACAUGAGGAACUUUUUAAAGGGUCGCUGAAUUAGGAAGGUUGAGAACUACUGCCCUAGACAGACUACUCUGGUUCUUACAUUAUUUCCAGUCUCCCCAAGAGAUCCUGAGCCUCAAAGAAAGUUAAAUAAAAGCCUGGGGCCCUCUCUGUAGCCCCUGUCUCUAGAAUGUACCUGUUGGUGAGUCUUGCAUUUUGGAGAAGGAAACCCAAUGUAAGGAAGAGGAUGAAAGCAGAAAGGUAUCCACAUGGACACAGACUACAGUAAUAACCUGUGACUGUAAACACAAAUGUGGAAACACCUCACAUCACUAAACCAAGCAAGAGCAGUUGCUUCUCACAGGAGCCUAUGCCUUCCCUGGUCACAUGCCUUGUCUAAAUUCCCUGUACCAGAUGUGAGUUAUCCACUGUGAAUCAGGCCUCAGGUCCAGUCAGAAAGCUGGUUCUAGCCGUAACUAGUUGAGCCACUACCCCACUAGAUGGGGCCUCUUGCCUGGCACUUUCAGUAUGAAGCAAGCAGGAUCCACAGCUGAGUAGGAAUUUUGGGCCUUAAUUCUGUCCAGCAACCCUAGUAGCAAUUUCUGGUCCUACAGGGAGGUGACACUUCCUGCUCAGUCCUAGCUUUUGUUUCUACAAGUCCUACAACCAAAGCAUGGCAGUAUCUUCAGCAACAGGGCAGCUCUGCAUGCGACCAGCAACGAUAGUGAUAACCUUUGUUGUUUUAGAGUCACCCAGGGCCAACAAUUCCUAUGGAGGGGCUGGAGAGAUGGCUCAACAGUUAAGAGCACAGUUAAGAGGACCCAGCAGCUCACAACUGUCUAACUAGAUCCAGGAGGUCCAAUGCCCACUGCAUGCACAUGGUGCAUAUACAAACAUGCAGCUACUAUAACAAAUUACCACAGUCUCAGAGGAUGGGGAUUUCAAGAUGGAGGAUCCAGAGACCUGUUGUCUGGUGCUUCUGGGUCUCCCACUCGGGAACUGUGAUCACCUCGACUGACAGAGCUGUCCUGAGCCAUCCUUCUGUACCCCAGGGCAGAGAACAUUACUCCAUGCUCAGUGGAUAUGGGGAGGGGAGACAUGGUCUCCCUUAAAGUGCGGUACACCUUGGUGACUAAUGGCGGACACCCCUUCCUCUUCGAUAACGCAGGUGUCCCUUCAGCCCAGCCCUUCAGUGCUCAGUCAGAAAGUCGAAGUGGUGUCCUGACUAUCCACAGCUGAUUCAAGACUUUCCUGUUCCCAAAGAAACUUUGGAAGCCACGAGUUGAGUGCAAGCAGGACUCCCCAAAGGAAAGCCACCUCUUCCACACUGAGGAGCAAACUGCUUUCCUUUCAGACGGGCCAGGUGAGGGUGUGUGAGAGAAAUGGAGUCAUUUCAGAUCACCUUUCAAGGUCACAAAUGAACAGAAGCCUUGAUGGAGUGUUUCCACUCUUAAGGACUGAUCUUAUAGAUGCAAAGAGAUGCAUCACAGCCAAUUCUACAGGGAAAGACUGGAUGUAACCUAAACAGCUCAGUGGAGAAAUGGAAAGAAAGGAGAGGAACAAUCGAUCCCCAAGUUGUACUUGGUCCUUCCCAAGUGAGGGAAACUAUGGGAUAUACUCAUGCUUAAAGAAAAAAAUUGCUGUAAUGAGGUGCAAUUGACAUGAAAUAAAUGAAAUGAAAUAAA